UGCGUCCGGACGUGCCUGGGAUACUAAACCAGCCCAUCUGGGGAGCCCCUCGCGGGGAGCCCAGCUCAGGAUCUCUGCAUUUAGCCUGGGAUUUCUCCCACUCCUCUGGCCUUCACCCCGCUGCAAAGGAAAUGGACAACUGCCUCUCUGCAUAAGGAAAGCAAGAUUCAACCCAAGGACAUUUCCUAUGCUGAUUAAACUAAAGGAAGAAUAUCACACAGCACCAACAAAUAGAGAGAAAGAGUAAAGACUUUCCUCGCUCCCCAAAGCACAAAGUAAAUACAAAUAGUUUUAUCCCAGUUUUACUAAUGAAGAAACCAAGACUCAGAGAAGUUAAAGUAUUUGUCCAGGAUCACACAAUGUGUCAGAGAUAAAUUUUGAAACCAGGUCAGCUGAUCUCCUCCUAUAAAAUGUUGAUUUAUGGGUCAUUAUACUAGGAUCUGAUAGAAUAUCAACAUUAAAAUGAAUACUUAUAGAAGAUCUAAAAAUGUAUUAUUAUCACCUUCUGCUCUCUUUUUGUCCACUCUGCCACUGCAGAAAAGCAGAAGAGCUACCAGGUUCUAGCUACCCUAGAACUGAGGGCUAUUUUUCUUUUUCUUUUUCUUUUUUUUGAGGGUUACCAAGGAGGAAGAAUUUGUCACCAAGUGGUGAGUCUACUGUCAAUGAUUCUCUCCAGAAUCAGCGCUGGAGAACCUGCAAGAGAUCACUGUUUGCUGGGAUAGCUUUUGUGAAUCCAGGAUAACUUCCCACAUCACAAUUAGGCACCAGAGUAGGGCUUUAUUCACACACCUUCACACCUCUAAAAUGUCUACCUGUUGCCACACAAUCCCACAAGAAUACUUUUUAAAAAUUCUCUCUGCUGCAUAGUUAUAGAAAAAUGAAGAUCAACAAAGUUAAAGUGGAAGAAGAAAUACAAGAUGAAAGGAUGAGGUUAUAUAGAAUGAUGAAAGUACACUGGAUUUGGAAUCAGAAUAAUUUGUAUCAAAUCCUGAAUCUGCUACAUGCUGGUGUGAUCUUAGAAAGGUUCCUUCCACUCUCUGGGCUUUAGUUUCUCCAUCUUUAUGUAGUACCCCCUCUGGAUUAGGUCCCCAAUUCAUGCCCAUACUUGAGGUUAGGGAUACAGAAGAAUGACUACUACUUUCAGAGUUCUUGGGGUAACUCUGAGGGGUUAUGUUUCUAAGACUAUAGCUCACAAGCCCCCACCAGUGUGCUUCUCAUUAACAAUCAGACAGUUGACUUAAAUAACUUCUAGAUAGGGUAUUUACUAAGAAUGUAUAGUAAGAAUAGUUACUACAAAACAUUAUUUCCAAAAGCCUACAGCAAAUUCUCUCACAAAUACACAAAGUAUCUAUGAGAAAGAGUGGGAUCAAACUUAGAAUACAAUGGCAGAAUCACAUUGUAGGGAACAUAUGUGGUAAAGGGAUAACCCACAGUUCCUGUUACUGAAAACUCCUUUCUCCCUUCCUCUUAAAGACGUCAUGAAGUUCCCUUUAGGUGUAGCUCUCUGAUGUAUUGCAAGAGUCUGUGCCUUUCUAGAGUCCAUAGCCAACACUUCAUUCAGCCAUGAGGGGUCAUAAACUCUGAAGCUGUUUCUUCACCAUUCCUAUUACUGGAAAUCCUUUCUCCUUCUCUCUUUGUAGUGUCUUCAUGUACUUUCCCUUGUGUGAGUAUCUCUCCAUAUCCCUUUUUCCUUGGAAUGUCUUUCUGAUCCUAGCUAGAUACAUUGCCUAAUACUGACUCAGUCUCUCCAACGGGGAAAGAGGUGACGGAAGGAGAACAGGAGAAUGGAAAGGGAGAGAAGAACAGAGACAAAGACACUGAGAGACAGAAGCAAAGAAGGAAAUCUCUUAAGGGUUUGGCUCCAACUCUUGUAUAGAAAUCCUCAAUUCCUGUCCUUAAAUUCUCCACUACUAGACUAGAUCAUCCCUGGACUGGUGAACUUGUAAAAUUUCUCCAGAUAUUUAAAGCCUCCAGAGGUGUGAUUAGCUUAUUUGGUUAGAUCAGAGGUUCCCAAAUGUAUUCGGCUGAACACCCUUUAAAAAAAAUUACUUAGCACCCCCCUGGAA
Non-coding RNA from Phascolarctos cinereus (koala), 2066 nucleotides. The record is from RefSeq and is a predicted model, not a curated record. NCBI's taxonomy places the organism in Eukaryota, Metazoa, Chordata, Mammalia, Diprotodontia, Phascolarctidae.